UCGAGGGCUUUACUGUCUCUUACUUCCAAUCCGUGAAAUUGACCUUCCCGUGAAGAGGCGGGAAUAUGACAAUAAGACGAGAAGACCCUAUGGAGCUUUAAUUAACCGACCCAAAGAGAUCUUGAUAAUCAACCGACAGGGAUAACAUACCUCUACCAUGGGCCGACAAUUUAGGUUGGGGUGACCUCGGAGAAUAAAACAACCUCCGAGUGAUUUAAAUCUAGACUAACUAGUCGAAAGUACUACAUCACUUAUUGAUCCAAAAACUUGAUCAACGGAACAAGUUACCCUAGGGAUAACAGCGCAAUCCUAUUUUAGAGUCCAUAUCGACAAUAGGAUUGCGC
RNAcentral lists this ribosomal RNA (344 nucleotides) under Panthera onca (jaguar). Its description in RNAcentral is "partial 16S ribosomal RNA". It matches the Rfam family "Bacterial large subunit ribosomal RNA", at positions 2004 to 2523 of the family's 2925-position model. Lineage: Eukaryota; Metazoa; Chordata; Mammalia; Carnivora; Felidae. The record is from RNAcentral.